This 429-nucleotide ribosomal RNA is filed under the name uncultured archaeon. Its description in RNAcentral is "bacterial SSU rRNA". It matches the Rfam family "Archaeal small subunit ribosomal RNA", at positions 474 to 903 of the family's 1478-position model. The record is from RNAcentral.
UACCUGCAGCUCAAGUGGUGACCGUUAUUAUUGGGCCUAAAACGUUCGUAGCCGGUUUAUUAAAUGCCUGGGUAAAUCGUGUAGCUUAACUAUACGAAUUCCGGGUAGACUGAUAAACUUGAGACUGGGAGAAGCUAGAGGUACUCCUGGGGUAGAGGUGAAAUUCUGUAAUCCUAGGGGGACCACCGGUGGCGAAGGCGUCUAGCUAGAACGGGUCUGACGGUGAGGAACGAAGCCCUGGGGCGCAAACGGGAUUAGAUACCCCGGUAGUCCAGGGUGUAAACGCUGCUUGCUUGAUGUUAGUUGGGCCCCGAGCUCAAUUAGUGUCGGAGUGAAGAUGUUAAGCAAGCUGCCUGGGAAGUACGAUCGCAAGAUUGAAACUUAAAGGAAUUGGCGGGGGAGCACAGCAACGGGUGGAGCGUGCGGUUU